RNAcentral lists this ribosomal RNA (2899 nucleotides) under Klebsiella pneumoniae. RNAcentral's name for it is "bacterial LSU rRNA". It matches the Rfam family "Bacterial large subunit ribosomal RNA". Lineage: Bacteria; Pseudomonadati; Pseudomonadota; Gammaproteobacteria; Enterobacterales; Enterobacteriaceae. The record is from RNAcentral.
UUAAGCGACUAAGCGUACACGGUGGAUGCCCUGGCAGUCAGAGGCGAUGAAGGACGUGCUAAUCUGCGAAAAGCGUCGGUAAGGUGAUAUGAACCGUUAUAACCGGCGAUGUCCGAAUGGGGAAACCCAGUGCAAUUCGUUGCACUAUCGUUAACUGAAUACAUAGGUUAACGAGGCGAACCGGGGGAACUGAAACAUCUAAGUACCCCGAGGAAAAGAAAUCAACCGAGAUUCCCCCAGUAGCGGCGAGCGAACGGGGAGCAGCCCAGAGUCUGAAUCAGCUUGUGUGUUAGUGGAACGGUCUGGAAAGUCCGACGGUACAGGGUGAUAGUCCCGUACACCAAAAUGCACAGGCUGUGAACUCGAAGAGUAGGGCGGGACACGUGGUAUCCUGUCUGAAUAUGGGGGGACCAUCCUCCAAGGCUAAAUACUCCUGACUGACCGAUAGUGAACCAGUACCGUGAGGGAAAGGCGAAAAGAACCCCGGCGAGGGGAGUGAAAAAGAACCUGAAACCGUGUACGUACAAGCAGUGGGAGCACCUUCGGGUGUGACUGCGUACCUUUUUGUAUAAUGGGUCAGCGACUUAUAUUCUGUAGCAAGGUUAACCGUAUAGGGGAGCCGCAGGGAAACCGAGUCUUAACUGGGCGUUAAGUUGCAGGGUAUAGACCCGAAACCCGGUGAUCUAGCCAUGGGCAGGUUGAAGGUUGGGUAACACUAACUGGAGGACCGAACCGACUAAUGUUGAAAAAUUAGCGGAUGACUUGUGGCUGGGGGUGAAAGGCCAAUCAAACCGGGAGAUAGCUGGUUCUCCCCGAAAGCUAUUUAGGUAGCGCCUCGUGAAUUCAUCUUCGGGGGUAGAGCACUGUUUCGGCUAGGGGGUCAUCCCGACUUACCAACCCGAUGCAAACUACGAAUACCGAAGAAUGUUAUCACGGGAGACACACGGCGGGUGCUAACGUCCGUCGUGAAGAGGGAAACAACCCAGACCGCCAGCUAAGGUCCCAAAGUCAUGGUUAAGUGGGAAACGAUGUGGGAAGGCACAGACAGCCAGGAUGUUGGCUUAGAAGCAGCCAUCAUUUAAAGAAAGCGUAAUAGCUCACUGGUCGAGUCGGCCUGCGCGGAAGAUGUAACGGGCUAAACCAUGCACCGAAGCUGCGGCAGCGACACUAUGUGUUGUUGGGUAGGGGAGCGUUCUGUAAGCCUGCGAAGGUGACCUGUGAGGGUUGCUGGAGGUAUCAGAAGUGCGAAUGCUGACAUAAGUAACGAUAAAGCGGGUGAAAAGCCCGCUCGCCGGAAGACCAAGGGUUCCUGUCCAACGUUAAUCGGGGCAGGGUGAGUCGACCCCUAAGGCGAGGCCGAAAGGCGUAGUCGAUGGGAAACAGGUUAAUAUUCCUGUACUUGGUGUUACUGCGAAGGGGGGACGGAGAAGGCUAUGUUAGCCGGGCGACGGUUGUCCCGGUUUAAGCAUGUAGGCUGGUUAUCCAGGCAAAUCCGGAUAAUCAAGGCUGAGGUGUGAUGACGAGGCACUACGGUGCUGAAGUAACAAAUGCCCUGCUUCCAGGAAAAGCCUCUAAGCAUCAGGUAACAUCAAAUCGUACCCCAAACCGACACAGGUGGUCAGGUAGAGAAUACCAAGGCGCUUGAGAGAACUCGGGUGAAGGAACUAGGCAAAAUGGUGCCGUAACUUCGGGAGAAGGCACGCUGGUGUGUAGGUGAAGUCCCUGCGGAUGGAGCUGAGACCAGUCGAAGAUACCAGCUGGCUGCAACUGUUUAUUAAAAACACAGCACUGUGCAAACACGAAAGUGGACGUAUACGGUGUGACGCCUGCCCGGUGCCGGAAGGUUAAUUGAUGGGGUUAUCCGUAAGGAGAAGCUCUUGAUCGAAGCCCCGGUAAACGGCGGCCGUAACUAUAACGGUCCUAAGGUAGCGAAAUUCCUUGUCGGGUAAGUUCCGACCUGCACGAAUGGCGUAAUGAUGGCCAGGCUGUCUCCACCCGAGACUCAGUGAAAUUGAACUCGCUGUGAAGAUGCAGUGUACCCGCGGCAAGACGGAAAGACCCCGUGAACCUUUACUAUAGCUUGACACUGAACAUUGAGCCUUGAUGUGUAGGAUAGGUGGGAGGCUUUGAAGCGUGGACGCCAGUCUGCGUGGAGCCAACCUUGAAAUACCACCCUUUAAUGUUUGAUGUUCUAACGUUGGCCCCUGACCGGGGUUGCGGACAGUGUCUGGUGGGUAGUUUGACUGGGGCGGUCUCCUCCCAAAGCGUAACGGAGGAGCACGAAGGUUAGCUAAUCCUGGUCGGACAUCAGGAGGUUAGUGCAAUGGCAUAAGCUAGCUUGACUGCGAGCGUGACGGCGCGAGCAGGUGCGAAAGCAGGUCAUAGUGAUCCGGUGGUUCUGAAUGGAAGGGCCAUCGCUCAACGGAUAAAAGGUACUCCGGGGAUAACAGGCUGAUACCGCCCAAGAGUUCAUAUCGACGGCGGUGUUUGGCACCUCGAUGUCGGCUCAUCACAUCCUGGGGCUGAAGUAGGUCCCAAGGGUAUGGCUGUUCGCCAUUUAAAGUGGUACGCGAGCUGGGUUUAGAACGUCGUGAGACAGUUCGGUCCCUAUCUGCCGUGGGCGCUGGAGAAUUGAGGGGGGCUGCUCCUAGUACGAGAGGACCGGAGUGGACGCAUCACUGGUGUUCGGGUUGUCAUGCCAAUGGCACUGCCCGGUAGCUAAAUGCGGAAGAGAUAAGUGCUGAAAGCAUCUAAGCACGAAACUUGCCCCGAGAUGAGUUCUCCCUGAGACUUUAAGUCUCCUGAAGGAACGUUGAAGACGACGACGUUGAUAGGCCGGGUGUGUAAGCGCAGCGAUGCGUUGAGCUAACCGGUACUAAUGAACCGUGAGGCUUAACCU